GACGAACGCUGGCGGCGUGCCUAAUACAUGCAAGUCGAGCGAAGUUUUUCUGGUGCUUGCACUAGAAAAACUUAGCGGCGAACGGGUGAGUAACACGUAAAGAACCUGCCUCAUAGACUGGGACAACUAUUGGAAACGAUAGCUAAUACCGGAUAACAGUAUUUCUCGCAUGAGAGAUAUUUAAAAGUUGGUUAUGCUAACACUAUGAGAUGGCUUUGCGGUGCAUUAGCUAGUUGGUGGGGUAAAGGCCCACCAAGGCGACGAUGCAUAGCCGACCUGAGAGGGUGAUCGGCCACACUGGGACUGGGACACGGCCCAGACUCCUACGGGAGGCAGCAUUAGGGAAUCUUCCGCAAUGGGCGAAAGCCUGACGGAGCAACGCCGCGUGAGUGAAGAAGGAUUUCGGUUCGUAAAGCUCUGUUGUUAGGGAAGAAUGGAUAUGUAGUAACUAUACAUGUAAGAGACGGUACCUAACCAGAAAGCCACGGCUAACUACGUG
This 499-nucleotide ribosomal RNA is filed under the name uncultured bacterium. RNAcentral's name for it is "partial 16S ribosomal RNA". It matches the Rfam family "Bacterial small subunit ribosomal RNA", at positions 28 to 507 of the family's 1533-position model. The record is from RNAcentral.